UUGCAUCUUGAUUUAAUUUUGAACGAGUGGCGGACGGGUGAGUAACACGUGGGUAACCUGCCCUUAAGUGGGGGAUAACAUUUGGAAACAGAUGCUAAUACCGCAUAAAUCCAAGAACCGCAUGGUUCUUGGCUGAAAGAUGGCGUAAGCUAUCGCUUUUGGAUGGACCCGCGGCGUAUUAGCUAGUUGGUGAGGUAACGGCUCACCAAGGCAAUGAUACGUAGCCGAACUGAGAGGUUGAUCGGCCACAUUGGGACUGAGACACGGCCCAAACUCCUACGGGAGGCAGCAGUAGGGAAUCUUCCACAAUGGACGCAAGUCUGAUGGAGCAACGCCGCGUGAGUGAAGAAGGCUUUCGGGUCGUAAAACUCUGUUGUUGGAGAAGAAUGGUCGGCAGAGUAACUGUUGUCGGCGUGACGGUAUCCAACCAGAAAGCCACGGCUAACUACGUGCCAGCAGCCGCGGUAAUACGUAGGUGGCAAGCGUUAUCCGGAUUUAUUGGGCGUAAAGCGAGCGCAGGCGGUUUUUUAAGUCUGAUGUGAAAGCCCUCGGCUUAACCGAGGAAGUGCAUCGGAAACUGGGAAACUUGAGUGCAGAAGAGGACAGUGGAACUCCAU
Molecule: ribosomal RNA, 617 nt
Filed under: Lacticaseibacillus rhamnosus
Lineage: Bacteria; Bacillati; Bacillota; Bacilli; Lactobacillales; Lactobacillaceae
Description: bacterial SSU rRNA
Rfam family: Bacterial small subunit ribosomal RNA
Source: RNAcentral